This 497-nucleotide ribosomal RNA is filed under the name uncultured bacterium. Its description in RNAcentral is "partial 16S ribosomal RNA". It matches the Rfam family "Bacterial small subunit ribosomal RNA", at positions 28 to 507 of the family's 1533-position model. The record is from RNAcentral.
GAUGAACGCUGGCGGCGUGCCUAAUACAUGCAAGUCGAGCGAACGGACGAGAAGCUUGCUUCUCUGAUGUUAGCGGCGGACGGGUGAGUAACACGUGGAUAACCUACCUAUAAGACUGGGAUAACUUCGGGAAACCGGAGCUAAUACCGGAUAAUAUUUUGAACCGCAUGGUUCAACAGUGAAAGACGGUCUUGCUGUCACUUAUAGAUGGAUCCGCGCUGCAUUAGCUAGUUGGUAAGGUAACGGCUUACCAAGGCAACGAUGCAUAGCCGACCUGAGAGGGUGAUCGGCCACACUGGAACUGAGACACGGUCCAGACUCCUACGGGAGGCAGCAGUAGGGAAUCCUCCGCAAUGGGCGAAAGCCUGACGGAGCAACGCCGCGUGAGUGAUGAAGGUCUUCGGAUCGUAAAACUCUGUUAUUAGGGAAGAACAUAUGUGUAAGUAACUGUGCACAUCUUGACGGUACCUAAUCAGAAAGCCACGGCUAACUACGUG